This 675-nucleotide ribosomal RNA is filed under the name uncultured bacterium. RNAcentral describes it as "bacterial SSU rRNA". It matches the Rfam family "Bacterial small subunit ribosomal RNA", at positions 62 to 783 of the family's 1533-position model. The record is from RNAcentral.
UCGAACGAGAUCUUCGGAUCUAGUGGCGCACGGGUGAGUAACGCGUGGGAACCUACCUUUUAGUACGGGACAACGUUUGGAAACGAACGCUAAUACCGUAUACGCCCUCCGGGGGAAAGGUCAGCCGCUAAAAGAGGGGCCCGCGUCUGAUUAGCUUGUUGGUAAGGUAAUGGCUUACCAAGGCUACGAUCAGUAGCUGGUCUGAGAGGAUGAUCAGCCACACUGGGACUGAGACACGGCCCAGACUCCUACGGGAGGCAGCAGUGGGGAAUAUUGGACAAUGGAGGCAACUCUGAUCCAGCAAUGCCGCGUGUGUGAUGAAGGCCCUAGGGUUGUAAAGCACUUUCAACGGUGAAGAUGAUGACGGUAGCCGUAGAAGAAGCCCCGGCUAACUUCGUGCCAGCAGCCGCGGUAAUACGAAGGGGGCGAGCGUUAUUCGGAAUUAUUGGGCGUAAAGGGCUCGCAGGCUGCUUGAACAGUUAGACGUGAAAUCCCCGGGCUCAACCUGGGAACUGCGUUUAAUACUAGCAAGCUAGAGAAAUAGAGAGGAAAGUGGAACUCCCAGUGUAGAGGUGAAAUUCGUAGAUAUUGGGAAGAACACCAGUGGCGAAAGCGACUUUCUGGCUAUUUUCUGACGCUGAGGAGCGAAAGCGUGGGGAGCAAACAGGAUUAGAU